This 438-nucleotide ribosomal RNA is filed under the name uncultured bacterium. RNAcentral's name for it is "partial 16S ribosomal RNA". It matches the Rfam family "Bacterial small subunit ribosomal RNA", at positions 339 to 795 of the family's 1533-position model. The record is from RNAcentral.
CUACGGGUCGCAGCAGUGAGGAAUAUUGCACAAUGGGGGGAACCCUGAUGCAGCAACACCGCGUGGAGGAUGACGCAUUUCGGUGUGUAAACUCCUUUUAUAUGUCAAGAAAAUGACGGUAGCAUAUGAAUAAGCACCGGCUAACUCCGUGCCAGCAGCCGCGGUAAUACGGAGGGUGCAAGCGUUACUCGGAAUCACUGGGCGUAAAGGACGCGUAGGCGGGUUGGAAAGUCAGGUGUGAAAUCCUACAGCUUAACUGUAGAACUGCACUUGAAACUUCUAAUCUAGAGUAUGGAGGGGGAGAUGGAAUUAGUGGUGUAGGGGUAAAAUCCGUAGAUAUCACUAGGAAUACCUAAAGCGAAGGCGAUCUCCUGGAACAUUACUGACGCUAAGGCGUGAAAGCGUGGGGAGCAAACAGGAUUAGAUACCCGCGUAGUC